Molecule: ribosomal RNA, 611 nt
Filed under: uncultured archaeon
Lineage: Archaea
Description: bacterial SSU rRNA
Rfam family: Archaeal small subunit ribosomal RNA
Source: RNAcentral
UGCGAGUCGAGAGGGUUCGGCCCUCGGCGUACUGCUCAGUAACACGUGGAUAACUUAACCUAAGGAAGGGGAUAAUCCCGGGAAACUGGGGAUAAUACCCUAUAGAUUACAGAUGCUGGAAUGCUCUGUAGUCCAAAGUUCCGGCGCCUCAGGAUGGAUCUGCGGCCGAUUAGGUUGUUGUUGGGGUAAUGGCCCAACAAGCCAGUGAUCGGUACGGGUUGUGGGAGCAAGAGCCCGGAGUUGGAUUCUGAGACACGAAUCCAGGCCCUACGGGGCGCAGCAGGCGCGAAAACUUUACAAUGCGGGCAACCGUGAUAAGGGAACCUCGAGUGCCUGUAUAUGCAGGCUGUCCAGGUGUCUAAAACACACCUAAAGAAAAAACCAGGCAAGACCGGUGCCAGCCGCCGCGGUAAUACCGGCGGCUCGAGUGGUGGCCACUUUUAUUGGGCUUAAAGCGUUCGUAGCUGGGUUGUUAAGUCUCUUGGGAAAUCUGGCAGCUUAACUGUCAGGCGUCUAAGGGAUACUGGCAAUCUUGGGACCGGGAGAGGUGAGGGGUACUUCGGGGGUAGGAGUGAAAUCCUGUAAUCCUCGAGGGACCACCUGUGGCGAAG